CCUACGGGUGGCUGCAGUGGGGAAUAUUGCACAAUGGGGGAAACCCUGAUGCAGCGACGCCGCGUGAGGGAAGAAGGUUUUCGGUAUGUAAAGCCCUUUUAGCAGGGAAGAUAAUGACGGUAUCCGACGAAGAAGCCCCGGCCAAAACCGUGCCAGCAGCCGCCGUAAUACGUAGGGGGCAAGCGUUAUUCGGAAUUACUGGGGGUAAAGGGAGCGUAGGCGGGAGAGCAAGGCUGGUGUGAAAUCCUGGGGCUUAACCCGGGAACUGCAUGUGAAACUGUGGGUCUGGAGUGUAGGAGAGGUAGGUGGAAUUCCUGGUGUAGCGGUGAAAUGCGUAGAUAUUAGGAGGAACACCGGUGGCGAAGGCGGCCUGCUGGACUGUAACUGACGCUGAGGCUCGAAAGCGUGGGGAGCAAACAGGAUUAGAUACCCUUGUAGUC
This 440-nucleotide ribosomal RNA is filed under the name uncultured bacterium. Its description in RNAcentral is "partial 16S ribosomal RNA". It matches the Rfam family "Bacterial small subunit ribosomal RNA", at positions 338 to 795 of the family's 1533-position model. The record is from RNAcentral.